This 221-nucleotide long non-coding RNA is filed under the name Carica papaya (papaya). Its description in RNAcentral is "long non-coding RNA (CPAP_LNC002771)". The record is from RNAcentral. Lineage: Eukaryota; Viridiplantae; Streptophyta; Magnoliopsida; Brassicales; Caricaceae.
GCACUAAGUUAAAAUUAUAAUAAAUGUGAGAGAGAUUCCUAAGUAAUAAAAUAACUAAAUUCUAGUUAUGAAGUUGAUCAUGGAUGCAAUGAUUAGCUUUAUUAGAAACGCAGCAAACCAGUUAUAGUUGUCAGAAACAUUCCGAAAAUCAAUCCUCCCUUAAUUCUGAACUAGUCAAGAAACAUUCAUCAGCUAAUUCUUCAUUGAUCAAAUAGUCCUGG